GCAUAUCAAUAAGCGGAGGAAAAGAAACCAACAGGGAUUACCUCAGUAACGGCGAGUGAAGCGGUAACAGCUCAAAUUUGAAAUCUGGCCUCACGGUCCGAGUUGUAAUUUGUAGAGGAUGCUUCGAGCAUGGUCUGGCCUAAGUUCCUUGGAACAGGACGUCAUAGAGGGUGAGAAUCCCGUAUGCGGUCAGGUGCCUACGCUCAUGUGAAGCUCCUUCGACGAGUCGAGUUGUUUGGGAAUGCAGCUCAAAAUGGGUGGUAAAUUUCAUCUAAAGCUAAAUAUUGGCCAGAGACCGAUAGCGCACAAGUAGAGUGAUCGAAAGAUGAAAAGCACUUUGGAAAGAGAGUUAAACAGUACGUGAAAUUGUUGAAAGGGAAGCGCUUGCAACCAGACUUGCGCGCGGCCGAUCAUCCGGUGUUCUCACCGGUGCACUCGGCCGUGCUCAGGCCAGCAUCGGUUUUGGCGGCUGGAUAAAGGCCCUAGGAAUGUAGCUCCUCUCGGGGAGUGUUAUAGCCUAGGGUGCAAUGCAGCCUGCUGGGACCGAGGACCGCGCUUCGGCUAGGAUGCUGGCGUAAUGGUUGUAAGCGGCCCGUCUUGAAACACGGACC
Molecule: ribosomal RNA, 611 nt
Filed under: Pseudogymnoascus pannorum
Lineage: Eukaryota; Fungi; Ascomycota; Leotiomycetes; Thelebolales; Thelebolaceae
Description: eukaryotic LSU rRNA
Rfam family: Eukaryotic large subunit ribosomal RNA
Source: RNAcentral